RNAcentral lists this long non-coding RNA (390 nucleotides) under Mus musculus (house mouse). Its description in RNAcentral is "predicted gene, 56529". Lineage: Eukaryota; Metazoa; Chordata; Mammalia; Rodentia; Muridae. The record is from RNAcentral.
GUCGAUGGAGGGACUAGAGACUGUCCAAGGAGGAAGGGACCACCAAUGGAAAGCUGAAAAUGAGUAUUAAUGUUAGUGAGCAUGGUGCCACCUUGGCCAGGGGCGUGGAUUCCAUUCAGCAUCUCCAAGAUCUGCAGCCUCCAUCUAUGGAGGCUUUCUGGAGGCAGUCACCUGCGUUGUGCCCUGGCUGUCCUGAAAUUCUCUCUGUUGACCAGGCUGACCUUGAACUUGGAGGAUCACCUGCCUCUGCUUCUGCCUCCUGAGUCCUGGGAUUAAAGAGGAGCGGAGAUGGCAGCGGGCGGAACGAAGGGAGGAUUGGAGGAGUCUGCGCAGAGCGAUCAAGUUGGGAGUCCUGAGCGACAGGCCCUCCAGAGGACAGCACAGCGAGCG